AGAGUUUGAUCAUGGCUCAGAACGAACGCUGGCGGCAGGCUUAACACAUGCAAGUCGAACGCCCCGCAAGGGGAGUGGCAGACGGGUGAGUAACGCGUGGGAAUCUACCCAUCUCUGCGGAAUAGCUCUGGGAAACUGGAAUUAAUACCGCAUACGCCCUACGGGGGAAAGAUUUAUCGGGGAUGGAUGAGCCCGCGUUGGAUUAGCUAGUUGGUGGGGUAAAGGCCUACCAAGGCGACGAUCCAUAGCUGGUCUGAGAGGAUGAUCAGCCACAUUGGGACUGAGACACGGCCCAGACUCCUACGGGAGGCAGCAGUGGGGAAUAUUGGACAAUGGGCGCAAGCCUGAUCCAGCCAUGCCGCGUGAGUGAUGAAGGCCCUAGGGUUGUAAAGCUCUUUCACCGGUGAAGAUAAUGACGGUAACCGGAGAAGAAGCCCCGGCUAACUUCGUGCCAGCAGCCGCGGUAAUUC
RNAcentral lists this ribosomal RNA (470 nucleotides) under uncultured bacterium. RNAcentral's name for it is "bacterial SSU rRNA". It matches the Rfam family "Bacterial small subunit ribosomal RNA", at positions 8 to 526 of the family's 1533-position model. The record is from RNAcentral.